Molecule: long non-coding RNA, 536 nt
Filed under: Ananas comosus (pineapple)
Lineage: Eukaryota; Viridiplantae; Streptophyta; Magnoliopsida; Poales; Bromeliaceae
Description: long non-coding RNA (ACOM_LNC012454)
Source: RNAcentral
AUUUUGAUGAAGUGUGUGGAGAUUGUUUUGCAGGGUAUUUCAAGACUUCGAGACUCCAUGUCAUGUCCUAAGUCAUAGAGUCUGUAUUAGGAUAUUAAAAAUGUAAUUUUGUUGGAUUGAUCACGCAGAAGGUUGUUGUUUGGUGAUUGCGAUAACCUUCUUAUUUUUGUCUCUGGAUAAAGCAUUGUAAAUUCUUUUUGUAUUUUGUCACGAAAUCGCCAAAGGGGGAGAUUGUUAAGGAUUUUAUAAGUUGGCGGAUUUCGUGAAGGGUUUGGAUAGAGUCUCGAAAAAUUAGAAGAUGAAGAUUGACGAAAAGAAUUGAAGUUUUAUGAUCAAAGACCCUUGAGAACUCAGGUAUGAUUAGAAACAAUUUGUGGUGAAGUUUUCAUUAUUAAAAGAUGUUUAGAAGACUUGGUUUUCUUUUUAUUUAUUCAAAAAUUUUCUGAAAAAAUCAGGGGUUAGGGACCGGUCCUUGAUCAGAGGGACCGGACCCAUCAAGCUUCUCUGCGUAGAAGUUUUGGGAGACCGGUCUCUGG